GCGACCCCAGGUCAGGCGGGACUACCCGCUGAGAU
RNAcentral lists this ribosomal RNA (35 nucleotides) under Fagus sylvatica subsp. sylvatica. RNAcentral's name for it is "partial 25S ribosomal RNA". Lineage: Eukaryota; Viridiplantae; Streptophyta; Magnoliopsida; Fagales; Fagaceae. The record is from RNAcentral.